CCUACGGGAGGCAGCAGUGGGGAAUAUUGGGCAAUGGGCGCAAGCCUGACCCAGCAACGCCGCGUGAAGGAAGAAGGCUUUCGGGUUGUAAACUUCUUUUCUCAGGGACGAAGCAAGUGACAGUACCUGAGGAAUAAGCCACGGCUAACUACGGGCCAGCAGCAGCGGUAAUAAGUAGGUGGCAAGCGUUAUCCGGAUGUACGUGUUGUAAAGGGGGUGUAGGCGGGACUGCAAGUCAGAUGUGAAAACCAGGGGCUCAACCUGUGGCCUGCAUUUGAAACUGUAGUUCUUGAGUACUGGAGAGGCAGACGGAAUUACUAGUGUAGCGGUGAAAUGCGUAGAUAUGAGGAGGAACACCAGUGGCGAAGGCGGUCUGCUGGACAGCAACUGACGCUGAGGCGCGAAAGCGUGGGGAGCAAACAGGAUUAGAUACCCGUGUAGUC
This 443-nucleotide ribosomal RNA is filed under the name uncultured bacterium. RNAcentral describes it as "partial 16S ribosomal RNA". It matches the Rfam family "Bacterial small subunit ribosomal RNA", at positions 338 to 795 of the family's 1533-position model. The record is from RNAcentral.